UUUGAGUACUGUGUUAGGAAGGGCAGUCAGUUGGUACUAAGGGCCAGGAGGCAGCCCCCCAGCGCUUAAUUACCAUGCACAAUCAGCGCCCCCGCGCUGACAAGCAGUAGCUCAUAACCAGCCACAACGCCCCGGCGCUCGCCAUCAGAAUCUUCAAGACAUGCCCAGCGCCCCAGCGCUCCCACACAGUUCAACUCAGCGCCCCGCCGCUACACAUCAGUAGCCCCAAGUUAGUCACAGACCCGGCGCUCUCCUACAGGCCAAAUACAGCGCCCCGGCGCUGCAUGCACACUCACGCCUCUGCAGUUUAGCGCCCCAGCGCUAUAGUGACAGGUUUGAAAAUUAAAAGGGUCUGGUACGCCCUUUCAGUUACUCAACCCCCCCACUAUUCGUUUUCCAUUUUUGACACGAUAAAAAUUGCCCCAUUCUCUUCAUAUCACUUCAUUAUUUCUCAUUGUCCAUACUUGUUGAUUAUCCUUAGUAACUUUCCCACACUAGCGACUCACAUACCUUAUUGGAUUUCUUCUCCUGCUAAGGUAAGGCAUGCAUUCUAGUUCACUUCAAUCAAUUCUUCUUUGACAUUUGUCAACAACUUGAGUUUUGGAUGCCAUAAAUAUGCUCAUAUACAUAUGAGUGUGAUUGAUAUACACAUCUAUUUUGGUUACAAGAGAUUUAAAGAGUGCCCACAAGGUGCUCGAUUAAUUGCCUAUGUGAUGUGUCAUUGUUAUUGUUGGCCCUAAACAUGAAUACCACUGAAUUUAAUUGCAUACUUGUCAUUCCAUUAACACAUGGAUACGGAUAGAGUAUUAUAUCAUUAGAGUAUGGGCUAAUUUUCAUGACCUCUUUAAUGUUUGUCUGUAUUCACAUAUUUUGAUGGCUAUUGUCAAGAGGAUUUGCAUACGCACUGAUUGGUCCUGAAUUUUCUUCAAUGUCAAUAUAGUUUAGUGUUUGUUGGGUGAUUGCCAUAAAGUCUGUGUGAGAAAUUCGUUGUAGUCACACCCCCAAACCCUAUUAUACAAAGCUAUCAUACUACGAAGUUUGGGGGUCGUGGUAUGAUUAAGUGACUUCGUGUAAUACUUGCGCAAAUGAUAAGUGUGACCACCCGAAUUUUUAUAAGUUAUUAAAAUAAGAAUUUAAUAAUUAAAAUUUUUAUUAUGAGGUGUAUAUAUUUUAAAUUAUGUGAUUUGGUGUGAAGAGAAUUAUAUAUUCAUAUGUUAGAGAAUGUGAGAUUUAAUAGUUAAUUAAACUAUUAAAGAAAUUAAAUAAUAUUAGUUUAUUUAAUUAAGUUGAAAUUAUGUUAUGAGAUAAUAUAAUUUUAAUUAUUAUGCCUUGUGGGCAAUGGAAAUUAUUAUGAGUUAAGUUUCAUAAAUAGUGUGAAUAAUUCACUUAAUUAAAAUAGUGAAUUAAUACAAGUAUAAUUGAUUUAAUAAAGUGAGAAGGUAAUAUAUUGCAUGAAAAUGUAAAUGUUAGUAUAAUGCGAG
RNAcentral lists this long non-coding RNA (1481 nucleotides) under Panax ginseng (ginseng). RNAcentral's name for it is "long non-coding RNA (PGIN_LNC002965)". The record is from RNAcentral. Lineage: Eukaryota; Viridiplantae; Streptophyta; Magnoliopsida; Apiales; Araliaceae.